CCUACGGGUGGCAGCAGUGGGGAAUAUUGCUCAAUGGGGGAAACCCUGAAGCAGCGACGCCGCGUGGAGGAUGAAGGUUUUCGGAGUGUAAACUUCUUUUGUUAGGGAAGAUACUGACGGUAUCUGACGAAUAAGCCCCGGCUAACUCCGUGCCAGCCGCCGCGGUAAUACGUAGGGGGCAAGCGUUAUUCGGAAUGACUGGGCGUAAAGAGCGCGUAGGCGGGGUAGCAAGUCUGAUGUGAAAUCCCAUGGCUUAACCAUAGAACUGCUUUUGAAACUGUUAUGCUAGAGUACGGGAGAGGUAGGCGGAAUUCGUGGUGUAGCGGUGAAAUGCGUAGAGAUGAAGAGGAAUACUCAUGGCGAAGGCGACCUGCUGGAACGUAACUGACGCUGAUGCGCGAAAGCGUGGGGAGCAAACAGGAUUAGAUACCCCAGUAGUC
Molecule: ribosomal RNA, 440 nt
Filed under: uncultured bacterium
Lineage: Bacteria
Description: partial 16S ribosomal RNA
Rfam family: Bacterial small subunit ribosomal RNA
Source: RNAcentral